GUUAUAUGGUCAAGCGAAUAAGCGCACACGGUGGAUGCCUAGGCGGUCAGAGGCGAUGAAGGACGUGGUAGCCUGCGAAAAGUGUCGGGGAGCUGGCAACAAGCUUUGAUCCGGCAAUAUCCGAAUGGGGAAACCCACUGCUUCGGCAGUAUCCUGCAGUGAAUUCAUAGCUGCUGGAAGCGAACCCGGUGAACUGAAAUAUCUAAGUAACCGGAGGAAAAGAAAUCAACCGAGAUUCCCUGAGUAGUGACGAGCGAACGGGGAACAGCCCUUAAGCUGGAAUGGCUUUAGAAAAACAAUCUGGAAAGAUUGGCCAUAGAAGGUGAUAGCCCUGUAUUUAAAAGGGCCACUCCAGUGAAGACGAGUAGGGCGGGGCACGUGAAACCCUGUCUGAAUAUGGGGGGACCAUCCUCCAAGGCUAAAUACUCCUGACCGACCGAUAGUGAACCAGUACCGUGAGGGAAAGGCGAAAAGAACCCCGGAGAGGGGAGUGAAAUAGAUCCUGAAACCGUGUGCGUACAAGCAGUAGGAGCUCGCAAGAGUGACUGCGUACCUUUUGUAUAAUGGGUCAGCGACUUACUGUUCGUGGCAAGCUUAACCGUAUAGGGGAGGCGAAGGGAAACCGAGUCUGAUAAGGGCGCAUAGUCGCGGGCAGUAGACCCGAAACCGGGUGAUCUAGUCAUGGCCAGGGUGAAGGUGCCGUAACAGGUACUGGAGGCCCGAACCCACGUCUGUUGCAAAAGACGGGGAUGAGCUGUGAUUAGGAGUGAAAAGCUAAUCGAACCCGGAGAUAGCUGGUUCUCCUCGAAAGCUAUUUAGGUAGCGCCUCGGACGAAUACUACUGGGGGUAGAGCACUGUUAUGGCUAGGGGGUCAUCGCGACUUACCAAACCAUUGCAAACUCCGAAUACCAGUACGUACUAUCCGGGAGACACACGGCGGGUGCUAACGUCCGUCGUGAAAAGGGAAACAACCCAGACCCACAGCUAAGGUCCCAAAUUCACUGCUAAGUGGAAAACGAUGUGGAAAGGCACAGACAGCCAGGAGGUUGGCUUAGAAGCAGCCACCCUUUAAAGAAAGCGUAAUAGCUCACUGGUCGAGUCGGUCUGCGCGGAAGAUUUAACGGGGCUAAGCAGUGAACCGAAGCUUGGGGUGCAUAAAACUUGUUUUAUGCGCGGUAGAGGAGCGUUCCGUAAGCCUGCGAAGGUGGAUUGAGAAGUCUGCUGGAGGUAUCGGAAGUGCGAAUGCUGACAUGAGUAACGAUAAUGCGGGUGAAAAGCCCGCACGCCGAAAGCCCAAGGUUUCCUUGCGCAACGUUAAUCGACGCAGGGUUAGUCGGUCCCUAAGGCGAGGGCGAAAGCCGUAGUCGAUGGGAAGCAGGUUAAUAUUCCUGCACCUCGCGUGAGUGCGAUGGAGGGACGGAGAAGGUUAGGUGUACCGGGCGUUGGUUGUCCCGGGGAAAGGCGGUAGGUUUGAAUCUUUGGCAAAUCCGGGAUUCUUUAAGACCGAGCACCGAGACGAGCCUUUAUGGCGAAGUCACUGAUACCACGCUUCCAGGAAAAGCUCCUAAGCUUCAGCUCACGAAGACCGUACCGUAAACCGACACAGGUGGGUAGGAUGAGAAUUCUCAGGCGCUUGAGAGAACUCGGGUGAAGGAACUAGGCAACAUGGCACCGUAACUUCGGGAGAAGGUGCACCCUUUUUGGUGGCUCAUGCGAGCUAUAGCUGAAGAGGGUCGCAGAAACCAGGCCGCUGCGACUGUUUAUCAAAAACACAGCACUCUGCAAACACGAAAGUGGACGUAUAGGGUGUGACGCCUGCCCGGUGCUGGAAGGUUAAUUGAUGGGGUCAGCCGCAAGGCGAAGCUCUUGAUCGAAGCCCCAGUAAACGGCGGCCGUAACUAUAACGGUCCUAAGGUAGCGAAAUUCCUUGUCGGGUAAGUUCCGACCUGCACGAAUGGCGUAACGACAGCGGCGCUGUCUCCACCCGAGACUCAGUGAAAUUGAAAUCGCUGUGAAGAUGCAGCGUUCCCGUGGCAAGACGGAAAGACCCCGUGAACCUUUACUAUAGCUUUACACUGAACGUUGAGUUCGUCUGUGUAGGAUAGGUGGGAGGCUAUGAAACUGUGGCGCUAGCUGCAGUGGAGCCAUCCUUGAAAUACCACCCUGUCGUGCUUGACGUUCUAACCUAGGUCCGUUAUCCGGAUCAGGGACCGUGUAUGGUGGGUAGUUUGACUGGGGCGGUCUCCUCCUAAAGAGUAACGGAGGAGCACGAAGGUACGCUCAGCGCGGUCGGACAUCGCGCACUGUGUGCAAAGGCAUAAGCGUGCUUGACUGCAAGAUCGACGGAUCAAGCAGGUACGAAAGUAGGUCUUAGUGAUCCGGUGGUUCUGUAUGGAAGGGCCAUCGCUCAACGGAUAAAAGGUACUCCGGGGAUAACAGGCUGAUACCGCCCAAGAGUUCAUAUCGACGGCGGUGUUUGGCACCUCGAUGUCGGCUCAUCACAUCCUGGGGCUGUAGUCGGUCCCAAGGGUAUGGCUGUUCGCCAUUUAAAGUGGUACGCGAGCUGGGUUCAGAACGUCGUGAGACAGUUCGGUCCCUAUCUGCCAUGGGCGUUGGAAGUUUGAGAGGGGCUGCUCCUAGUACGAGAGGACCGGAGUGGACGAACCUCUGGUGUUCCGGUUGUCACGCCAGUGGCAUUGCCGGGUAGCUAUGUUCGGAAGCGAUAACCGCUGAAAGCAUCUAAGCGGGAAGCGCGCCUCAAGAUGAGACUUCCCGGGGCACAAGCCCCCUAAAGGAACCAUGUAGACUACGUGGUUGAUAGGUCAGGUGUGUAAGUACAGCAAUGUAUUGAGCUAACUGAUACUAAUGAUCCGUGCGGCUUGACCAUAUAACCUCA
This 2897-nucleotide ribosomal RNA is filed under the name Xanthomonas cannabis pv. phaseoli. Its description in RNAcentral is "bacterial LSU rRNA". It matches the Rfam family "Bacterial large subunit ribosomal RNA". RNAcentral also lists the same sequence under 2 other names. Lineage: Bacteria; Pseudomonadati; Pseudomonadota; Gammaproteobacteria; Lysobacterales; Lysobacteraceae. The record is from RNAcentral.